UGGGGAAUAUUGCACAAUGGGGGGAACCCUGAUGCAGCGACGCCGCGUGAGCGAAGAAGUAUUUCGGUAUGUAAAGCUCUAUCAGCAGGGAAGAAGAAAAUGACGGUACCUGACUAAGAAGCACCGGCUAAAUACGUGCCAGCAGCCGCGGUAAUACGUAUGGUGCAAGCGUUAUCCGGAUUUACUGGGUGUAAAGGGAGCGCAGGCGGCGCGCUAAGUCUGAUGUGAAAGCCCGGGGCUCAACCGCGGGACUGCAUUGGAAACUGGCGCGCUGGAGUGCCGGAGAGGUAAGCGGAAUUCCUA
Molecule: ribosomal RNA, 303 nt
Filed under: uncultured bacterium
Lineage: Bacteria
Description: bacterial SSU rRNA
Rfam family: Bacterial small subunit ribosomal RNA
Source: RNAcentral